CCUACGGGAGGCAGCAGUGAGGAAUAUUGGUCAAUGGACGCGAGUCUGAACCAGCCAAGUAGCGUGCAGGAUGACUGCCCUACGGGUUGUAAACUUCUUUUAUAAGAGGGUAAAGUGAGGCACGUGUGCCUUUUUGUAUGUACCUUAUGAAUAAGGAUCGGCUAACUCCGUGCCAGCAGCCGCGGUAAUACGGAGGAUCCGAGCGUUAUCCGGAUUUAUUGGGUUUAAGGGGAGCGUAGAUGGUUUGUUAAGUCAGUUGUGAAAGUUUGCGGCUCAACCGUAAAAUUGCAGUUGAUACUGGAAGCCUAGAGAGCAGUUGAGGUAGGCGGAAUUGGUGGUGUAGCGGUGAAAUGCUUAGAUAU
This 362-nucleotide ribosomal RNA is filed under the name uncultured bacterium. Its description in RNAcentral is "partial 16S ribosomal RNA". It matches the Rfam family "Bacterial small subunit ribosomal RNA", at positions 338 to 697 of the family's 1533-position model. The record is from RNAcentral.